RNAcentral lists this ribosomal RNA (2662 nucleotides) under Escherichia coli. RNAcentral describes it as "partial 23S ribosomal RNA". It matches the Rfam family "Bacterial large subunit ribosomal RNA", at positions 398 to 2925 of the family's 2925-position model. The record is from RNAcentral. Lineage: Bacteria; Pseudomonadati; Pseudomonadota; Gammaproteobacteria; Enterobacterales; Enterobacteriaceae.
UGUGAGCUCGAUGAGUAGGGCGGGACACGUGGUAUCCUGUCUGAAUAUGGGGGGACCAUCCUCCAAGGCUAAAUACUCCUGACUGACCGAUAGUGAACCAGUACCGUGAGGGAAAGGCGAAAAGAACCCCGGCGAGGGGAGUGAAAAAGAACCUGAAACCGUGUACGUACAAGCAGUGGGAGCACAGAGCAAUCUGUGUGACUGCGUACCUUUUGUAUAAUGGGUCAGCGACUUAUAUUCUGUAGCAAGGUUAACCGAAUAGGGGAGCCGAAGGGAAACCGAGUCUUAACUGGGCGUUAAGUUGCAGGGUAUAGACCCGAAACCCGGUGAUCUAGCCAUGGGCAGGUUGAAGGUUGGGUAACACUAACUGGAGGACCGAACCGACUAAUGUUGAAAAAUUAGCGGAUGACUUGUGGCUGGGGGUGAAAGGCCAAUCAAACCGGGAGAUAGCUGGUUCUCCCCGAAAGCUAUUUAGGUAGCGCCUCGUGAAUUCAUCUCCGGGGGUAGAGCACUGUUUCGGCAAGGGGGUCAUCCCGACUUACCAACCCGAUGCAAACUGCGAAUACCGGAGAAUGUUAUCACGGGAGACACACGGCGGGUGCUAACGUCCGUCGUGAAGAGGGAAACAACCCAGACCGCCAGCUAAGGUCCCAAAGUCAUGGUUAAGUGGGAAACGAUGUGGGAAGGCCCAGACAGCCAGGAUGUUGGCUUAGAAGCAGCCAUCAUUUAAAGAAAGCGUAAUAGCUCACUGGUCGAGUCGGCCUGCGCGGAAGAUGUAACGGGGCUAAACCAUGCACCGAAGCUGCGGCAGCGACGCUUAUGCGUUGUUGGGUAGGGGAGCGUUCUGUAAGCCUGUGAAGGUGUGCUGUGAGGCAUGCUGGAGGUAUCAGAAGUGCGAAUGCUGACAUAAGUAACGAUAAAGCGGGUGAAAAGCCCGCUCGCCGGAAGACCAAGGGUUCCUGUCCAACGUUAAUCGGGGCAGGGUGAGUCGACCCCUAAGGCGAGGCCGAAAGGCGUAGUCGAUGGGAAACAGGUUAAUAUUCCUGUACUUGGUGUUACUGCGAAGGGGGGACGGAGAAGGCUAUGUUGGCCGGGCGACGGUUGUCCCGGUUUAAGCGUGUAGGCUGGUUUUCCAGGCAAAUCCGGAAAAUCAAGGCUGAGGCGUGAUGACGAGGCACUACGGUGCUGAAGCAACAAAUGCCCUGCUUCCAGGAAAAGCCUCUAAGCAUCAGGUAACAUCAAAUCGUACCCCAAACCGACACAGGUGGUCAGGUAGAGAAUACCAAGGCGCUUGAGAGAACUCGGGUGAAGGAACUAGGCAAAAUGGUGCCGUAACUUCGGGAGAAGGCACGCUGAUAUGUAGGUGANNNNNNNNNNNNNNNNNNNNNNNNNNNNNNNNNNNNNNNNNNNNNNNNNNNNNNNNNNNNNNNNNNNNNNNNNNNNNNNNNNNNNNNNNNNNNNNNNNNGGUCCCUCGCGGAUGGAGCUGAAAUCAGUCGAAGAUACCAGCUGGCUGCAACUGUUUAUUAAAAACACAGCACUGUGCAAACACGAAAGUGGACGUAUACGGUGUGACGCCUGCCCGGUGCCGGAAGGUUAAUUGAUGGGGUUAGCGGUAACGCGAAGCUCUUGAUCGAAGCCCCGGUAAACGGCGGCCGUAACUAUAACGGUCCUAAGGUAGCGAAAUUCCUUGUCGGGUAAGUUCCGACCUGCACGAAUGGCGUAAUGAUGGCCAGGCUGUCUCCACCCGAGACUCAGUGAAAUUGAACUCGCUGUGAAGAUGCAGUGUACCCGCGGCAAGACGGAAAGACCCCGUGAACCUUUACUAUAGCUUGACACUGAACAUUGAGCCUUGAUGUGUAGGAUAGGUGGGAGGCUUAGAAGUGUGGACGCCAGUCUGCAUGGAGCCGACCUUGAAAUACCACCCUUUAAUGUUUGAUGUUCUAACGUGGACCCGUAAUCCGGGUUGCGGACAGUGUCUGGUGGGUAGUUUGACUGGGGCGGUCUCCUCCUAAAGAGUAACGGAGGAGCACGAAGGUUGGCUAAUCCUGGUCGGACAUCAGGAGGUUAGUGCAAUGGCAUAAGCCAGCUUGACUGCGAGCGUGACGGCGCGAGCAGGUGCGAAAGCAGGUCAUAGUGAUCCGGUGGUUCUGAAUGGAAGGGCCAUCGCUCAACGGAUAAAAGGUACUCCGGGGAUAACAGGCUGAUACCGCCCAAGAGUUCAUAUCGACGGCGGUGUUUGGCACCUCGAUGUCGGCUCAUCACAUCCUGGGGCUGAAGUAGGUCCCAAGGGUAUGGCUGUUCGCCAUUUAAAGUGGUACGCGAGCUGGGUUUAGAACGUCGUGAGACAGUUCGGUCCCUAUCUGCCGUGGGCGCUGGAGAACUGAGGGGGGCUGCUCCUAGUACGAGAGGACCGGAGUGGACGCAUCACUGGUGUUCGGGUUGUCAUGCCAAUGGCACUGCCCGGUAGCUAAAUGCGGAAGAGAUAAGUGCUGAAAGCAUCUAAGCACGAAACUUGCCCCGAGAUGAGUUCUCCCUGACUCCUUGAGAGUCCUGAAGGAACGUUGAAGACGACGACGUUGAUAGGCCGGGUGUGUAAGCGCAGCGAUGCGUUGAGCUAACCGGUACUAAUGAACCGUGAGGCUUAACCUUACAACGCCGAAG